Long non-coding RNA from Marmota monax (woodchuck), 393 nucleotides. RefSeq lists it as uncharacterized. The record is from RefSeq and is a predicted model, not a curated record. The transcript is spliced from 2 exons. NCBI's taxonomy places the organism in Eukaryota, Metazoa, Chordata, Mammalia, Rodentia, Sciuridae.
UUCUCCUCCAACUAUCCUCCUGUCCACUCUGCGGGUCUGAUGGAGUUCCUCCAGGGAUUGAGCCUCAAAAUCUCCUUCAGUGGCCUUUUUAAAUCUGCCUCCUUUGGUCGCCUCCAUUGUCUGACAUUACAAGAUAUGUCAAUGAUUGACAUCAAAUGCCAUGAUAAUAUCCUCAGUGGACCAGUUCUGCAGUGUGACUAUGAUAUGGCUCCUGGACGAGUAAUCCUGAACCUGGAACUUGGAAUUUUCAAAAUUCACCCGAAAUUCUUUGAAGUAUCAAUAUUUUUCUAUAAAAUUAUUUUCUAUUUAUAUUAAAAUAUUUGUUAUCUAUUGUUGCAUAACAAAUUAUUUCCAACCUCACCAACUAAAACUAAAAUAAAUUUUAAUUGUCUA